AAGAUCAUACUUUCACAGUAUCAUUUCUAUAGUACAUCUUCGCAUACUCUCUACUCAAACGUAGAAUUGUUACAUUCAUAGAAUUAUUCCGAAUAAUCAAUUUUUUGAUGACAAAAUUAAAUUUGCCUAUUUUAUUAACUGAAACUUCAGGUAAAAAUGGUAAACCUCACUGGCAAACGUAGAGUUGUCGCAACCACGAUGACGAGUUGGAGUUUUUUGUCCUGAGCGUGAGGCAGACUUUUUUCAUUGAUCAUUCCAUAUCUUUGAAGUCAUCGAUGAUCGUUCAUCUGCGAAUUUAUUUCUCAGAAAUUGGACAAGAAACAAUCUGAGUGGU
This is a small nucleolar RNA of Aethina tumida (small hive beetle), 334 nucleotides long. RefSeq annotates it as small nucleolar RNA U3. The record is from RefSeq and is a predicted model, not a curated record. The transcript has a single exon. Lineage: Eukaryota; Metazoa; Arthropoda; Insecta; Coleoptera; Nitidulidae.